Long non-coding RNA from Uranotaenia lowii, 390 nucleotides. RefSeq lists it as uncharacterized. The record is from RefSeq and is a predicted model, not a curated record. NCBI's taxonomy places the organism in Eukaryota, Metazoa, Arthropoda, Insecta, Diptera, Culicidae. The transcript is spliced from 3 exons.
GGAAGGGUUUCUGAGGCUCAGACGCAACCGAUCUACUGGUUCCUGUAUAUUUAUUCUAAAGAAAAACAGUACAAGGAGAGUGGAAAGAAAUUUUGAAAACAGAUCGGAAGGCCCAAAGCAAUAUACCGAGAAUCUCUUCAUGCCUCACAUGCCGAUCCGAGGCCAAUAUCGAGAUCCAGCAUUGGAAGAGACAGUUAUUUUGUUUCGAGUCUAAGGAAAGCUAAGAGCUAAUAGUUUUUGUCAAACUUCCGGUGAAAAAAUGCUGCUGAAAACAUUUGCCAAAGUUAUGACGAGCCAAGCCUUUGCAACUGGAUGAAUAGAAAUUUUAACAAAUCAAAUUUGAAGAUUAAAUAAAUAUUAACCCAUUUCAAAAUGACAUUAUGACAGAUU